GAUGAACGCUGGCGGCGUGCCUAAUACAUGCAAGUCGAGCGAACAGACGAGGAGCUUGCUCCUCUGACGUUAGCGGCGGACGGGUGAGUAACACGUGGAUAACCUACCUAUAAGACUGGGAUAACUUCGGGAAACCGGAGCUAAUACCGGAUAAUAUAUUGAACCGCAUGGUUCAAUAGUGAAAGACGGUUUUGCUGUCACUUAUAGAUGGAUCCGCGCCGCAUUAGCUAGUUGGUAAGGUAACGGCUUACCAAGGCAACGAUGCGUAGCCGACCUGAGAGGGUGUUCGGCAACACGGGAAUGGGGACACGGCCCAGACCCCUAGGGGAGGCAGCAGUAGGAAAUCUUCCGCAAUGGGCGAAAGCCUGACGGAGCAACGCGGCGGGAGUGAUGAAGGCCUUCGGAUCGUAAAACCUUGUUAUUAGGGAAGAACAAAUGUGUAAGUAACAAUGCCCGUCUGGAGGGAACCUAACCAGAAAGCCACGCUUAACUACGU
This 496-nucleotide ribosomal RNA is filed under the name uncultured bacterium. RNAcentral describes it as "partial 16S ribosomal RNA". It matches the Rfam family "Bacterial small subunit ribosomal RNA", at positions 28 to 506 of the family's 1533-position model. The record is from RNAcentral.